This is a long non-coding RNA of Mugil cephalus (flathead mullet), 2280 nucleotides long. RefSeq lists it as uncharacterized. The record is from RefSeq and is a predicted model, not a curated record. The transcript is spliced from 3 exons. Lineage: Eukaryota; Metazoa; Chordata; Actinopteri; Mugiliformes; Mugilidae.
UAUUUAAAUUUGACGUCCACUUUUCUUCCGCCGUCCGUCAUAGCGUUCAUAUAUCGCGCGAGUGGAACGUGACGUCACGUGUAAAGGGUCGAUAGAUAUAUGUCUAUGUAAAGGGUCAAUACACUUCGGUGCAGUAGGUGGCAGCAUCCAGAUUCAACAUUGGUCAGUAGAAUUAAGGAAGAAGAAAGAUUUGCUCACUCAAGUUUUGCAGCCUCCACUACUUCCUGGCGACGAUGGCAGGACUAAUUCUGCCAGCAACGAUGACAACAAAUGCUGCAGACAGAAGGCAGACCAUUCAGUGCACAGUUUCUGAUGAGUCACCUGAAAAGUUCCAGCCGGUUCGAUGUCCACCUGAGCUAAGUGCCACAUAUCUCCUUGGUUAUUCCUCUUCCACCAGACUGCAUUGGCCACUCUGUUCUGGACAAGGCCGGGCGACUGGCACGUCUGGUGACAGCAACUCCUUGGCUCCAUCUCACACUGGCUCUCCCUCUCAGAAGACGGAGUGCCCGCUGACAGUUAUCAAAGCCGCGUCUGGGCCGACUCCUUGUUUUGACAUUAGCCUGUCCUUCAGCGUGUCCUCACCCCCUUGCUUACACAGUUGCAACUGGUCAAUUUAAGUCAUUAGCUCUGUGACCGCAAUAGGACCUGACUGAGUUAGAUGGAAAGCCCAUGCGGUCCGUCCAUUAAAAUCAAUUCCAGCUCAUCUCCAUGUCUGAAGCUGUGACUGCUGUGGUAAAGGAUUUAUUAUUUUUUUUUCCUGUAUCAAUCCUCCAGUACACUAAAUCAUAAAACGUCAGCAGAGGGGCUACACACACAUGGAGGCCGUAAAAUUGAGGGUGUUGACCAAAAGGCUCAUGUGAUCCCUGAAAAUUGCAAAUGUAUCCCAAAAGAUUAACUCCAGAGGAAUUUCGCUUGCAGCAUCACCUUUGUGUACCAAACCAAAUUUAUUUCUAGGCUUGUUUUCUCUGUCCAGCUGACAGUUUCUUGGCAGAGAAGUGUCCAGCCUACGAGUGGUAUGUCAGCCAUGUUUAUUUUGGAUGACAGAUGCAAUCUGCCCCUGAAUCAGCUGACGGGUCAAUCUAUAUCUCAUUACUCUUUCCAAACAAUAUAAUCUGGGCUGGGAUUCACAAGGUAUCAUAAUGUAUUAGGUCGCUGUGACAUUAUGUAAACUUGGUAGUGCAACUCUUGACUACAAUGCAGCAGCAAAUCCUGUAAAGCAUGUUUUUGUUGUUUUUGUUUUAUGUUUUUUCACUUGUAAUGCAACAACUUAGAUGUUUUAUUCUAUUUCACACACUUAUACAUUUACUAUUCAUCCUCUACCCCAAAUCCUUCUUCCUCUCUCUCUCUCUCUUUGCUAUUAUUCUCUCUUUUUUUUCCAGGGCAGCUCAAAAGCAGGCUUUGCUCGUGUGAUUUACUUUCUAUUAGGGGAUUAAAAAUCAAUUAUGCAGGAAGCCAUGCGUAGGCGUGAUUAUAGCUGCGCAUGACGGCACCAUUCAUCACAGGACCACUCAUCUCUGCAGCCGUUAGUUACACAACGCACACCAGGGCCGCCAUCUUUUACCAUGAACUCUGCCCCUCGUCUUUUACUCAGUAUAAACGGAGUACAUCCACCCUAUAAGAUGAAUGACUUGGGAGCAUUUUUAGUAUAAAAAAAAGACUACAUAAUUUGCACGGCAAAGUGAAGAGGUGGGAAUAUAAAAUGUCCAAAAAUAUGUCGCGUUAUAUUCACCAACUGCUGAAGGGAACAUCCAUCCCAGUUAAAUGAAGCAGAUUAUAGCAAUUACAGACCCGUUUGCUGUGAAUUGAAUAACGCGGUCUCUGGCUUGACAAGACCACGAAACGGAACUGAAAUGGCAUCAAUAAAGAGCCUUCAAAUAAGGACCAUUAUCAGCUGUCACCUAUGAAGUUGCUGAUACGACUGGAGCUGCUUCCCCCGUAAAUAAAUUGUGAAUUACGUUUUCGUGACGAGCGACUUUUCCCCUUUGUCUAUUGGUUAGUGCCGGUUGUUAGAGCAGUGCACUGCUAAUCUCAGACACAGGAGAAGACACUUUAGAUGAGUUGCCCCGACUCGAAUAAGACAAAGUAGAAUCUAAUACUGAAGUGUGAAGAUUCAUUUGUGACCUUGGGAUCUGUAAUAAAAUAUGCAGAGUUUCUAAGCUUUACUCCAUUUUCUUCAGACAUUGUAAGAUAUCUCUGGGAGGCUGACAUUAGUCAUGACGUUCUACUGUAAAAAAAUAAAUAAAUAAAAUAAAAUAAAAUAACCUGCUACUCCUUAAUCUA